GGAUCCUCCGGCAGCCGUGCGUUCUCUUGUACUGCGGCCUCUUGCGGGGCUGCAUGCCAUUAACAGUCCGCAGAGUGUUUGAAGGGUAAAUAAUCUGCUCUUUUCCAUCCGUAUUACUAGCAAAGACCCACUUACACAGGCUCUAUCUGUUCAUUUUUAGAAUAGUUGGAAAUCCUGCAGGAAAAAUGAUACCGUUUCUCACAACAUAGGAGACCAGCCUUCCUCCAUGGAAGUGAGCAGAGCAAACCUUUGGUGACACUCACGCCCUCGAUUACGCGAGUUGACAGUGGUGAAAGUUGGUUAGUGAUCUGGACGCUACUUCAGAGAGGGUCAUAUUUGUAAAGGCAUGGAAACCUGCCCUACGAUCCACUGUGACACACAGGAAAACAUCCAGAGACUCCCAAGUUACAGAAAUUAGCAGCUGAGACAAGGAACUGUCCCUUCAAGUUGUUUCAACUACUACUUCCUCACUAUAGGAAACAAAAAAAUGUUUCCUGUUUAUAAGAACUUUUUUGAAUUCUGUCCCAAAAAUGACAUUUGAAUUCAAAUAUAGUAACAGGGAAAUGGUGGUUCAGCAAAGAGAGAACAGAAAAUGGUUUACUGGCCUGAAACCUACUUGGAUUGGCAGGGUCUGACAGCGUUCUCUAUUUGAGAAAAUAUUUGCCACCGUCAGUCCAGUUACCAAUGGAUAGAUGCUCGCUUAGAAAAGCAUAAUCAUAUUUGCUGGAAAUUUCAGCAGAAACACCAAAGAACAUGUGAAUAUGUUCUUGCUUAGCACUUGCUAAUCUCUCUCACGCAUCUAGAAUGCAUCUUCGUGAGAUGAUUCCUUGGGGGGAGAUCCACUGGCAGGAUGAUAAAUUCUGUAUAAUCACAAAGAAUUAAAUAGCUUAACUGUCUCAGAUCCUGCCAAGCUAUGGAUGGUAUCGUUUCUCUGUCAUUACUCUUAGAAAAAUGCCAUCAUAUUUUCCCAAGGGCUCAGCAGGGAAGUCAAAGACCCUGUGGAUAUACAGUACCAAUGAAUCUGUCCUUCAGCCGCCAAUGUUGUGAGCAUUUGGACACGCUAAAGAGACCACAUUGGAAGGGGGAGGAAAGAAAAGGGAGAAAACAAAUGAGGCCACAGUGAAGUCUUUCUAAAAAGUCUCGGGGGAAUCAUUGCUUAUCAUGCUAAUAAACCCCUGAGGUAUCUUGCGUUGAACUUAGGAAUUCUGAGCAGAAAUGCAGGCGACUGUAUCUGUAACUAAAGUGUAAAAUACAAAUAUGUCUUAGACCAAGAGGAACCUGCAGUACAACUGGUAGACUGCACUUACCUGUCUAGUCCCUUCCCAUCCUAACGGUUAGUCCCUGAGCUUUAUGUAUAUCCGUGAAAGCAAGCGUUUGUACGCAGGCCCAAAUUAUUUUACAUUGUGUAAUAGAUAGGGGCAUGCUGAAACAGACUGUGGUUUUUGCACUGGCUGUGCUUGAAUGUAUGUGUAGUGAAUGAAACGCUGUGUGGAAAGAAACUGUGACUAGCUAGGAGAAACCCAUCAUCGCUAAACCAGACACUAGACUCCUGGUGAAAAUGCUAUAGAAGUUGACAUCUCCAGAACACAGAACCCAGGGAUUCUUAUCCCUAACGAUAAUGUUCAGAAGCAUGAACUUUUGGAGGGCCUAAAGAAGACUCGUGCUUGUGCCAGGACCGGUGACUUUCCCAACCUCAAGCUGCCUUUCUCCUCCUUUUCUGUGACAUCUGUAUGGGAAAAUGGAUCUGCAAGGCCCCAAGCGUGCUACUGCUCACUAGAGAGGCAGUAUGUAUGUCAGAAGGAAAAGAACCCUUAAAUCAUGUUGUUCCAGUGAGCUUUGUGAAACUGAGGCAUUCUGCUAGCUUACUGACACAUUCCACUAGCUUACUGUUCCCUGGAGACCUGCACAAGAGCGGGUAUUUCCGCAGGGCAAUUGUGGUAAACAGCUGACCUGGCACAUUCACCCAAACAUGCAGCAUGAAGAGGAACCACAAAGAUAGGCACAGAUAGACAGCACAGACUGCAUUUAUCCAAAGGGCACAUUUCUGUUAUCAUCAGACGGUGAUGAGGAUCCUUUUCCGCUGGGGUCUUGCCUGCAGGACCGACGAGAUUUCCUGGACAGGUUGCAAGCUGAACGCUACGUUAACAGCAGCAAGCAGUACUGCAUCUUCAGAGCAGGCUGAGAUCCAGAGCAUUCCCCAGAGCACGCUGAGAGCCUUGGCAUGAAAGCAGGCCAUUCUGCAUUAGAGCACCUCUGCUUGCGCUGGGGACAUUUAGACGCUGCUGUCUCAAACGUGCACUGCAGAACUUUCACUACAAAUAAGACGGUGCUGAAGGUGAGCUGACAACCUCUGAUGACAGCUGUUUGGGACAGCCUGAGGCAGCGGCUGGCCCCAAUGAGUCUGCAGCGAGUGUUAGGUAAACUUUCGCUCACAGAACAGCAUGACCAAAGGAGAGCACUGGAAUGAGGAGAAGACUGGAAAACACAACCUGUCGGGAAAGGCAAACUUCUUACAUCGGCAGAGAUUGGAUGAAGGAAAGCCCAGCCAUUCAAACCUAAACCUUGUCGUUAACCUCCCCACCCCCCAAAAAAACAACAACAAAAACCCAGAAGGGAAUUUGCCUUCUGUGUCCACAGGCAGCUGGAAAAAAAUGUAAUGGCCUUGAAUAAGUAAUGGGUUUAAACAGCGGCAAGGAGAAAUUAUGCAAAAUAUUAGCGGAUAUUUUGCAUUUGUUCCCACUGCUGAGUACCUGGAGAGAGUGCCGACAAGGCCGUAGCAUCGCUGCACGAGCUUUUUUAGGAGCAGCUUCUGGGCUGCUGUGUCUGCCUGGCACCGGGCAGGGCAGAUCAUCUCUCAGAAUUUCUUCUUUCCUUCCCACCUGCUUCCCAUAAUAGCCGUUGCUCUGCUUUAUUCUUCAUAUUUCACACUUUCAGGCUAAAAAAGCCACAAUAGUAUUUAAUUCCUCAAGUGCUUUUACCAUUACAGUUAAAGGACUUGAGCAGUGUUGGAAGUAAUUAUUUGUCUGCAUGUGAAAAUGCUGUACAGAUAGGGUCAAAGAACAUAAUUUUUCUGGUUCUUUUGAUGGCAAAGAGUCAAAAGUAACUGUAAAAGUCUUAAGUAAAUCAAAAAGUUCAGCCGGAGCUUGGAAAACCCAACAAUCGUGCUAGGUCAGUGGUUCCCCCAGUCUGGACUAACACCAGAGUUUCUAGAAUAAAGUAUCCUGAUUCCAACAGUACGAUGAGGCUGGUUUGUUGCAGAAAAUAUUCUGUGGCGUACCUCUUGGCUGUGAAUUGUCCCCCUCACGUUGUUGUGGUGCGUGUUACUCUAUUGCAGAUGACUGCUGAGCAAGCCCGAGUAAAGCACUCAGCUGUGCCAAAAACCGCUCGGAGGUUCUCCGGUCUGAAUUUAUCUUGGUAUGGAACAAAUGAAAAUAACCUGCUUGACUUACCAGACCUUGGGCUGGAAGGUAAUUUUAGUACCUAUCUUCUCUAAGUCAUAUUAGUGUAUUUAGGCAGUCUCAGAAUCCCACCACCACUGGAAAAAUUUAGAUAUAAAGAAAGCAUUUAGCUUAGCCUGAUUCAAUUCAGCAUUUGAUCUGGCAGAUGUAGCAGCCAAAUUUUUACCAAGGGUAACAAAUGAACCCUGGGAUUAAUUCAGACACUCCACAGAUUAAGUGGUGGGAAAUGCACAAACAGAUUAUGGUGAGGCUUUGUAGCUCCCAUGUAGGUAUCGGUUAUUAUUCAGCAAGCUCUUGACUUCUUAAACGAUUCCAGCUGCCUUCUUUUUUUCACUUUUCUUAAGGAAAUAUUGGUGAUGCUGGCAUUCCGCAGUAAAGGAAGUAAAUGCUUUUCACUGUGCAAACUGCUUUAUGACCAUAUU
Long non-coding RNA from Grus americana (Whooping crane), 3880 nucleotides. RefSeq lists it as uncharacterized. The transcript has 3 exons. NCBI's taxonomy places the organism in Eukaryota, Metazoa, Chordata, Aves, Gruiformes, Gruidae. The record is from RefSeq and is a predicted model, not a curated record.